This 391-nucleotide ribosomal RNA is filed under the name uncultured bacterium. RNAcentral describes it as "partial 16S ribosomal RNA". It matches the Rfam family "Bacterial small subunit ribosomal RNA", at positions 523 to 916 of the family's 1533-position model. The record is from RNAcentral.
AUACGUAGGGGGCGAGCGUUGUCCGGAAUGAUUGGGCGUAAAGGGCGCGUAGGCGGCCCGGUAAGUCUGGAGUGAAAGUCCUGUUUUUAAGAUGGGAAUUGCUUUGGAUACUGUCGGGCUUGAGUGCAGGAGAGGUAAGUGGAAUUCCCAGUGUAGCGGUGAAAUGCGUAGAGAUUGGGAGGAACACCAGUGGCGAAGGCGACUCACUGGUCCGGUACUGACGCUGAGGUGCGAAAGCGUGGGGAGCAAACAGGAUUAGAUUCCCUGGUAGUCCACGCCCUAAACGAUGAUUACUCGACAUCAGCGAUACACUGUUGGUGUCUGAGCGAAAGCAUUAAGUAAUCCACCUGGGAAGUACGAUCGCAAGAUUGAAACUCAAAUGAAUUGACGG